RNAcentral lists this ribosomal RNA (428 nucleotides) under Musca autumnalis (face fly). RNAcentral describes it as "partial 16S ribosomal RNA". It matches the Rfam family "Bacterial large subunit ribosomal RNA", at positions 1922 to 2558 of the family's 2925-position model. Lineage: Eukaryota; Metazoa; Arthropoda; Insecta; Diptera; Muscidae. The record is from RNAcentral.
UUUAAAUGGCCGCAGUAUCCUAACUGUGCAAAGGUAGCAUAAUCAUUAGUCUUUUAAUUGAAGGCUGGUAUGAAUGGUUGGACGAGAUAUUAACUGUUUCAUAAAAAUUUAUAAUAGAAUUUUAUUUUUUAGUCAAAAAGCUAAAAUAUAUUUAAAAGACGAGAAGACCCUAUAAAUCUUUAUAUUUAGACAAUUAUAAUUUUUCGGAUUUUUUUUGUUAUGAUUGUUAAUAAUAUUUUAUUGGGGUGAUAUUAAAAUUUAAAAAACUUUUAAUUAAUUAAAUCAUUAAUUAAUGAUUAAUUGAUCCGUUAUUAACGAUUAAAAAUUUAAGUUACUUUAGGGAUAACAGCGUAAUUUUUUUGGAGAGUUCAUAUCGAUAAAAAAGAUUGCGACCUCGAUGUUGGAUUAAGAGAUAUAUUUAGGUGUAG